GCAAGGGGAGCGGCAGACGGGAGAGUAACACGUGGGAACGUACCCUUUGGUUCGGAACAACCCAGGGAAACCUGGACUAUUACAGGAUAAGCCCUUACGGGGAAAGAUUUAUCGCCGAAGGAUCGGCCCGCGUCUGAUUAGCUAGUUGGUGGGGUAAUGGCCCACCAAGGCUACGAUCAGUAGCUGGUCUGAGAGGAUGAUCAGCCUCACUGGGACUGAGACACGGCCCAGACUCCUACGGGAGGCAGCAGUGGGGAAUAUUGGACAAUGGGCGCAAGCCUGAUCCAGCCAUGCCGCGUGGGUGAUGAAGGCCCUAGGG
Molecule: ribosomal RNA, 319 nt
Filed under: uncultured bacterium
Lineage: Bacteria
Description: bacterial SSU rRNA
Rfam family: Bacterial small subunit ribosomal RNA
Source: RNAcentral